RNAcentral lists this ribosomal RNA (447 nucleotides) under Priestia megaterium. Its description in RNAcentral is "bacterial SSU rRNA". It matches the Rfam family "Bacterial small subunit ribosomal RNA", at positions 41 to 480 of the family's 1533-position model. Lineage: Bacteria; Bacillati; Bacillota; Bacilli; Caryophanales; Bacillaceae. The record is from RNAcentral.
GGCGUGCCUAAUACAUGCAAGUCGAGCGAACUGAUUAGAAGCUUGCUUCUAUGACGUUAGCGGCGGACGGGUGAGUAACACGUGGGCAACCUGCCUGUAAGACUGGGAUAACUUCGGGAAACCGAAGCUAAUACCGGAUAGGAUCUUCUCCUUCAUGGGAGAUGAUUGAAAGAUGGUUUCGGCUAUCACUUACAGAUGGGCCCGCGGUGCAUUAGCUAGUUGGUGAGGUAACGGCUCACCAAGGCAACGAUGCAUAGCCGACCUGAGAGGGUGAUCGGCCACACUGGGACUGAGACACGGCCCAGACUCCUACGGGAGGCAGCAGUAGGGAAUCUUCCGCAAUGGACGAAAGUCUGACGGAGCAACGCCGCGUGAGUGAUGAAGGCUUUCGGGUCGUAAAACUCUGUUGUUAGGGAAGAACAAGUACGAGAGUAACUGCUCGUACCU